Molecule: long non-coding RNA, 3469 nt
Organism: Felis catus (domestic cat)
Lineage: Eukaryota; Metazoa; Chordata; Mammalia; Carnivora; Felidae
Exons: 2
Source: RefSeq, a predicted model, not a curated record
CUCAGUGCAAUAUCGUUUUACUUUAUCUUUGGCAUGAGGACUGUCUUUAUACACAACAACUUUCUCAUCUGCUUUAUUUAGCACCUCAGUGGCCAUCACCUGAGAAACUUUCUGAAUUACUGUGUUUCAAGUGGAGCAACUUUACAACAAAACAAACAUAUUUAUUGAUUUGUCACAGUCCAGAGAGCUGCUUCCUGUCCCCAGGGGUCCAGCAAAGCAGGAGGUGGAGGUGAAAAAUGAAACUAACGGCAGUUCUAGACUGAGCCAUGAGAUGUGUGCAAACCUUUAGAUGGCCCCAUCCCCAGCCAUCAUUCCCAUGGUUUUCCCUCCAGUCUGCUGGAGCUGUCACCAAGAGCAGACGUUCCUGCCUGACUGGGAGGCCAGCUAAGCUCAUCAGAUUUGGGGGCCUGACAGUGAGUUCCCUUCCUUACCCAGGUCCCCUCCACUGGCCCUACCUCUGAUCCAGAGGAGGACAGGGCAUGGCCAGGGCCUCCACUGGCACUGUCCUCUGUCCUUCCUCCCAGGAAAGCCCUCCCUACCAUCAGUGGGAAUUCAAACACUACACGCUCUCCCCGGAGGUCAGAGACCCCACCUGAGCCCCCGGGAGUCUGUGGUUCCCCCGGCAGGAAAGUGGGAGGCCUGUGGAGCCUCCAUGAUUCUUCUAGGAGACUCUGUUGGGGGGUCUUGUAAAGGAGGGAGGGGACAGGGCAUAGAUUAAAAAUGGUCAAGAAAAUCACAUCUUUGGAUCUCAGAGAUGAAUCUCCAAGAUGGAGGCUGGCCCUGCAUGCAGCCAACCUGGGGCUAGAGGCUGGGGCCAGGGUGGGAAUCUCUGGGCAAUGGCGGCAGCUACACCUCAAAGACAUCCCCUGAGGCUGUGGCUGUCACACUGCAGAGGCCACACUGCCCUAACCAAGGGCAGCAGAGCCCAGGAAGUUUUAUCCAGUCCUUCUGCUCAGAUUGGGCCUCGAGUCCCCCAGCGCCUGCAGUCAUGGAAACCAAGAGAUAAAAAAAUGUCCUACCUCAUGCCCCCCUGGUGGGAAUGGACAAUAGGUCGGCUGCUGUGGGAAACAGUAUGAAGGUUCCUCAAAACAUUAAAAACAGAAUUACAAUAUGACCCAGCAAUUCCAGUUCUGGGUUGAUACCCAAAAGAACUGAAAUCAGGGACUUGAAGAUAGUAUUUGCACGACCCCUGUUCACAGCAGCAUAUCGGCAAUAGCCCAGAGGUGGAAACAACCCAAGUGUCCACUGAUGAGUGACUGGAAACAAAAUGGCAUAGGCAUACAACGGGAAUAUUACUCAACAUUACAAAGGAAGGAAAUUUUGAUACAUGCUACAACAUGCUAAGUGAAAUGAACCAGUCACCAAAAAAAAAACCCCAAACCUAAACAAAACAAAAACAAAUACUGUAUGAUACCACUCAUAGGAGCUACCUGGAGAAGUCAAAUUCCUAAGAGACAGAAAGCAGAAGAUUAAGGGUUGGGGUUGGAAGAAAGGAUGCCGUAGGGAGUUACAGUUUAAUGGGUACAGCGUUUCAGUUCUGCAAGAUGAAAGGAUGUCUGGAGAUUGGCUGCACAAUGGUGUGAAUGUACCUACUACUGAGCUAUGUACAUAAAAAUCAUUGGGCACGAUAAAUUUCAUGUUGUAUGUAUUUUACCACAAUUCAAAAAAAUGGUCCAUUAAGUGUACGGGUUUUGGGAGUUUGGGAAUCAAGAAGACGUGAGGGAUGUGUUUUGUGUUUUUUUUCUUUUAGUACAGGCUCUGCUUGCACAACUUCUCUGAGCCUCAGUUACUUCAUCUGCAAAAUGGGGUCAGUAGGUAUCUGCCUUGUGUGGUUCCCACGCAGAUUAUGUAAGGGGAAGUUGGUCAGAUCCUAAGCACAGUGCCUGGCACACAGCCAGGACUCCACAAAUGGCAGCUCUUCCCUUCAUCAUCAUCUAUUACUAUAGUAAUAGAUGGGUUCAUGAGCUUUGGGAGUUAUUCAGAACAAUGCCAAGGGGCAAGGAAGGGCAGAGCCACAUAUCUUACAGCCAGGAUGCAAAGGUCCUAUGGUGAAUGUCGCUCAGGCCGCUCUGGGGGAGGGUCCUUAGGUCCCAGUAGCAGCAGACAGCCACACACCUACAUGGAGAGCUCUCCAGCCCCGGACAUGCUCGGGCUGCUCAGAAACCACAGAAGUCGGCUUGUUCUGCAGCAGAUGCCGUCAGCCUGAUGAGAUUUCAAGUUCGAUCACUGUCAUUUAGCUGGCCUGCCUAGUGGCACCAAGCAAAAGCAGACCAUUCCAUUUCUAAGUAAACGUUUCCAGAUUCCAAUCUCUGAGGCCGGGCAUUUUGUAGGGCACAAGGGACUCAGACCUUGAACUUCACCAGGAUUAAGCAAAACUUUGUCCCCACCAAUGAACGUUUCCACUGACCAAACCAUGUCUUCCUGGUUCUUUCCUCUGGGGAUUGUGUGGAGCCUCAAUACACUGUAUACACAGUACAGGGCAUGUCAAACUGUUUCAGAUGCAGGAUGUUACCAACUCAGCAUGUAUGUCUAACUCCUUGGCUGGGCUCUUGAAGCCUUUCUUGAUCUAAUUUCUGCCUCUCCCCAGCCUCAUCUGCUGCUCCCCCCAAGCAUGCAUCCGCUCUGGCUUUCUAAACUAUGCAGUGUUCCUCACACGUGGUCUUAUUUCCGUAAGCCUCCCUGGCUUUGAACCAAGAAUGUUUCUGCAAGGAAUGCCCUUCCUCUCCACAACUGAGAAUUCCUAGAUAUCAUCCAAAAUACAGCUCAACUGUCACCUCUUCCAGGAAGCCGGCUGAGAAAUGUGAAGGGUCUAAGACUUUACCCUGCUUGCAAAGUGACAAGUGAACCUUCCACGGCUUCAUGGAUGGCAGCAGAAGACAGGAGACCCCUGGGUCAGAGACAAAGGACCUUACUGCUGACAACACAGAAGUAGUAUGAGCUUCAUGUCUGUGACGGGUCCCCUUGGCUUCAAGUCCCAUGGGGCAACCAAGGGGGGCCCAGGUGGGUGCUGUGCAUUCAGUGGGUGUGCAUCAGAGCUGAGGAAUGUCCGGCUUAGAAAACCCAAAUCUUUUAUAACAGACUGCAGUCAAACCUGCCCUCUGCCCAGGAGGAAGAGCCAUCUCUGUCUUCCAAGGCUGCUUGCUGUACAAACAUCCUUGAAAAGACAGUCUGGAGCAAAAGGGCAAUUAGUGCCUCUGUUUAUAAAAUGAGCACAAAUGCCACAGACUAGGAAGGACUGUCUCCCAAAAAAAGUCCUCCCUGGCUACCUGAUAUGGCAGCUGCACGGUGCUCCCUCCCACCAUGCCCUGUAUGACCUCUGCCUUAGGAAGAAAUAUGAAUUCACGUUAUGACCGGUGUAUUUUUUUUUUUGGUCUACUACCAGCCUGGGUGCUCUCUGAAGUCAGGGACUGUCUUUUCUGUUUAUCUGUCAGACACAAAGAAGUGCUCAAUAAAUGUGCAAAUAAAUGAA